Molecule: long non-coding RNA, 465 nt
Organism: Cydia pomonella (codling moth)
Lineage: Eukaryota; Metazoa; Arthropoda; Insecta; Lepidoptera; Tortricidae
Exons: 2
Source: RefSeq, a predicted model, not a curated record
GUCAAUGAAUAAUGUCACUGUCAGACGUAUAAAUAAAAUUACUAAUUUACUUAUUUGUAUUUUUUACGAGAAGAAGUAAGUGACGAUAAUGCUACAUGGUACACGAAAACGAAAAACAGUUUGCCUUUCUACAAAAGUCACAUUCAGUCGAAGGCAGCUACGCAAUAUUAUUAAAAAAACAGAUAUUGUUGGUGAUCGUUUGUUUGCCGAUUAAAUGAAUAACAAUUUAACUUCAAAUUGAAGAAAUACAACCAAAUUACUCGAAUUAAAUGAAUGCAGAGGAGAAAUAUUUCUUCACUUAAGGUGUCCAUGGGCGACGGCACUCGUGGUCGUGGCAGAUACAGUUUAUGACUAGACCAUAUAAAACUUGAUGGGCGAGACAAGAAAUCCUUUAUGAAGAAAGCUAUUUACGUUAGCCAAGGGGCUGAUAGAAAGAAUAUUUAAUAAAUUAAUUGGAAUAAUAAA